This 697-nucleotide small RNA is filed under the name Pongo abelii (Sumatran orangutan). RNAcentral describes it as "retained intron". Lineage: Eukaryota; Metazoa; Chordata; Mammalia; Primates; Hominidae. The record is from RNAcentral.
CAGGGUUCGGUGGGCUGCCGUCCUCAGGCUGCCGGCUCUGUGGUUCCCAGGGGCAAGAUGAAGAGGAUCGCCUUCCAGUUCACGCCCUACAGCUGGGUUCGCUUCGAGUGGAAGCCGGCCUCCAGCCUGCGUCGCUGGCUGGCCGUGUGCGGCAUCAUCCUGGUGGUAAGGCCGGGCUGCCUCGCGAUGGCGCGGCGGGCUGGGAGCCAGAGCUGGUGCUCACCCUCUCCUCCCCUAGUUCCUGUUGGCAGAACUGAACACGUUCUACCUGAAGUUUGUGCUGUGGAUGCCCCCAGAGCACUACCUAGUCCUCUUGCGGCUCGUCUUCUUCGUGAAUGUGGGUGGCGUGGCCAUGCGCGAGAUCUACGACUUCAUGGAUGACCCGAAGCCCCACAAGAAGCUGGGCCCGCAGGCCUGGCUGGUGGCGGCCAUUACGGCCACGGAGCUGCUCAUCGUGGUGAAGUACGACCCCCACACGCUCACCCUGUCCCUGCCCUUCUACAUCUCUCAGUGCUGGACCCUCGGCUCCGUCCUGGUGCUCACCUGGACCAUCUGGCGCUUCUUCCUGCGGGACAUCACCUUGAGGUACAAGGAGACCCGGCGGCAGAAGCGGCAGAACAAGGAUGACCAGGGCAGCGCCGUCAGCAACGGGGACCAGCACCCGCCGGGGCUGGACGAAGACCUGCUGGGGCCUGGG